This 576-nucleotide ribosomal RNA is filed under the name uncultured bacterium. RNAcentral's name for it is "bacterial SSU rRNA". It matches the Rfam family "Bacterial small subunit ribosomal RNA", at positions 485 to 1060 of the family's 1533-position model. The record is from RNAcentral.
AAUAAGCACCGGCUAACUCUGUGCCAGCAGCCGCGGUAAUACAGAGGGUGCGAGCGUUAAUCGGAUUUACUGGGCGUAAAGCGUGCGUAGGCGGCCAUUUAAGUCAAAUGUGAAAUCCCCGAGCUUAACUUGGGAAUUGCAUUCGAUACUGGAUGGCUAGAGUAUGGGAGAGGAUGGUAGAAUUCCAGGUGUAGCGGUGAAAUGCGUAGAGAUCUGGAGGAAUACCGAUGGCGAAGGCAGCCAUCUGGCCUAAUACUGACGCUGAGGUACGAAAGCGUGGGGAGCAAACAGGAUUAGAUACCCUGGUAGUCCAUGCCGUAAACGAUGUCUACUAGCCGUUGGGGCCUUUGAGGCUUUAGUGGCGCAGCUAACGCGAUAAGUAGACCGCCUGGGGAGUACGGUCGCAAGACUAAAACUCAAAUGAAUUGACGGGGGCCCGCACAAGCGGUGGAGCAUGUGGUUUAAUUCGAUGCAACGCGAAGAACCUUACCUGGCCUUGACAUACUAGAAACUUUCCAGAGAUGGAUUGGUGCCUUCGGGAAUCUAGAUACAGGUGCUGCAUGGCUGUCGUCAGCU